Molecule: ribosomal RNA, 534 nt
Filed under: uncultured bacterium
Lineage: Bacteria
Description: bacterial SSU rRNA
Rfam family: Bacterial small subunit ribosomal RNA
Source: RNAcentral
GCGCACGGGAGAGUAACACGUGACUAACCUACCCUUGAGUGGGGGAUAACCUAGGGAAACCUGGGGCUAAGUUACCUGUAUAAUACCUUCGGUGUCAACACGGAGCAAUUCGCUUUUAGGAGGGGGUCGCGGCGAUUAGUUAGUUGGCGGGGUAAUGGCCCACCAAGACUGUGAUCGGUGAUCCGGCCUGAGAGGGCGCACGGACACACUGGAACUGAAACACGGUCCAGACUCCUACUGGGGAGGCAGCAGGUGGGGAAUUUUGCGCAAUGGGGGAAACCCUGGCGCAGUCAACGCCGCGUGGAGGAUGAAGCCCCUUGGGGCGUAAACUCCUUUUCGAUCGGGACGAUAAUGACGGUACCGAGAGAAGAAGCCCCGGCUAACUUCGUGCCAGCAGCCGCAGGUAAUACGAGGGGGGCGAGCGUUGUUCGGAAUUAUUGGGCGUAAAGGGUGCGUAGGCGGUUCAGUAAGGUCUUGUGUGAAAUCUUCGGGCUCAACUCGAAGUCUGCAUGAGAAACUGCUGGGCUUGACGUG